This 314-nucleotide ribosomal RNA is filed under the name Wolbachia endosymbiont of Bemisia tabaci. RNAcentral describes it as "bacterial SSU rRNA". It matches the Rfam family "Bacterial small subunit ribosomal RNA", at positions 399 to 730 of the family's 1533-position model. The record is from RNAcentral. Lineage: Bacteria; Pseudomonadati; Pseudomonadota; Alphaproteobacteria; Rickettsiales; Anaplasmataceae.
GCAUGAGUGAAGAAGGCCUUUGGGUUGUAAAGCUCUUUUAGUGAGGAAGAUAACGACGGUACUCACAGAAGAAGUCCUGGCUAACUCCGUGCCAGCAGCCGCGGUAAUACGGAGAGGGCUAGCGUUAUUCGGAAUUAUUGGGCGUAAAGGGCGCGUAGGCUGAUUAAUAAGUUAAAAGUGAAAUCCCGAGGCUUAACCUUGGAAUUGCUUUUAAAACUAUUAAUCUAGAGAUUGAAAGAGGAUAGAGGAAUUCCUGAUGUAGAGGUAAAAUUCGUAAAUAUUAGGAGGAACACCAGUGGCGAAGGCGUCUAUCU